This 258-nucleotide long non-coding RNA is filed under the name Gossypium barbadense (sea-island cotton). RNAcentral's name for it is "long non-coding RNA (GBAR_LNC001682)". Lineage: Eukaryota; Viridiplantae; Streptophyta; Magnoliopsida; Malvales; Malvaceae. The record is from RNAcentral.
AGAAAGGCAGAAACUCUAGGGUUUCCUGCCUUGGUGCAACAAGCAGGGCCAAUUGGGCUUUUCGAAUUUGGGCUAGCUAGUUUAAUUGGGUCACGGGUGUUUGUGGGUCUGCUGGGUAGUUUAGGCCUAGGUUUGCUGUAUUUGGGCUACGGGACUGCUUUGGGUUUUGGGUAGCAACAGUGGGCCAAUGUAAAUGGACUAUUAUAUUAACUGUUUAAAAACAAUUAUUUAUUUAUUUAUUUUCAAUUUCAAAUCCCG